UCUGUUGUGAAGGAAGAAUAACUUAGAUAGUAAAUGAUUCUAUGUUUGACGGUACUUUACCAGAAAGUCACGGCUAACUAUGUGCCAGCAGCCGCGGUAAUACAUAGGUGGCAAGCGUUAUCCGGAUUUAUUGGGCGUAAAGAGUGCACAGGUGGUUUAUCAAGUCAGUUGUUAAAURCCRAGGCUCAACCUUGGCUCGCAAUUGAAACUGAUAGACUAGAAUAUCGGUGGGGGUAGUAGAAUUCCAUGUGUAGUGGUGGAAUACAUAAAUAUAUGGAGGAAUACCAGUGGCGAAGGCGGCUACCUGAACUGAUUAUUGACACUUAAGCACGAAAGCGUGGGGAGCAAAUAGGAUUAGAUACCCUAGUAGUCCACGCCGUAAACGAUCUAGACUAGACGUUGGGAUAACCCAGUGUCACAGCUAACGCAUUAAGUCUAGCGCCUGGGUARUAUGCACGCAAGUGUGAAACUCAAAGGAAUUGACGGGG
Molecule: ribosomal RNA, 488 nt
Filed under: uncultured Mycoplasmataceae bacterium
Lineage: Bacteria; Bacillati; Mycoplasmatota; Mollicutes; Mycoplasmatales; Mycoplasmataceae
Description: bacterial SSU rRNA
Rfam family: Bacterial small subunit ribosomal RNA
Source: RNAcentral